UAAUACGGAGGGUGCGAGCGUUAUCCGGAAUCACUGGGUUUAAAGGGUGCGUAGGCGGCGAGGUAAGUCAGUUGUGAAAUACCCCGGCUUAACCGGUGGGAGUGCGAUUGAUACUGCUUUGCUUGAAAGAGGUUGAGGUAAGCGGAAUGUGGCAUGUAGCGGUGAAAUGCAUAGAUAUGCCAUAGAACACCGAUUGCGAAGGCAGCUUGCUGGGCCUUCUUUGACGCUGAGGCACGAAAGCGUGGGGAGCAAACAGG
RNAcentral lists this ribosomal RNA (257 nucleotides) under uncultured bacterium. RNAcentral's name for it is "partial 16S ribosomal RNA". It matches the Rfam family "Bacterial small subunit ribosomal RNA", at positions 521 to 776 of the family's 1533-position model. The record is from RNAcentral.